CCUACGGGUGGCAGCAGUAGGGAAUAUUGCUCAAUGGGGGAAACUCUGAAGCAGCAACGCCGCGUGGAGGAUGACGGCUCUCGGAGUUUAAACUUCCUUUGUUAUUGGGGUUAACAACCCUAUCUAACGAGUCAGCACCGUCUAACUCCGUUCCAGCAGCCGCGGUUAUUCGGAGGGUGCAAGCGUUAUUCGGAUUGACUGGGCGUAAAGAGCGCGUAGGCGGGAUAGCAAGUCAGAUGUGAAAUACCAGGGUUCAAGCAUGGAACUGCAUUUGAAACUGUUGUUCUAGAGAGUGGGCGCGGUAGGUGGAAUGCAUGGUGUAGGGGUAAAAUGCGUAGAGAUCAAACAGAAUACUGAUUGCGAAGGCAACUUACCAAAACAUAACUGACGUUGAUGCACGAAAGCGUGGGGAGCAAACAGGAUUAGAUACCCCUGUAGUC
This 440-nucleotide ribosomal RNA is filed under the name uncultured bacterium. RNAcentral's name for it is "partial 16S ribosomal RNA". It matches the Rfam family "Bacterial small subunit ribosomal RNA", at positions 338 to 795 of the family's 1533-position model. The record is from RNAcentral.